GUCUUCGUGGCUCAGUUGGCUAGAGCGUUGGUCUCAUACUCGUAUGAUCCAGUCUAAGACUGGGCUAUCCAAAGGUCGUGAGUUCGAGCCUCACCGAGGACA
Molecule: transfer RNA, 102 nt
Filed under: Nemania serpens
Lineage: Eukaryota; Fungi; Ascomycota; Sordariomycetes; Xylariales; Xylariaceae
Description: tRNA-Met
Rfam family: tRNA
About the family: Transfer RNA (tRNA) molecules are approximately 80 nucleotides in length. Their secondary structure includes four short double-helical elements and three loops (D, anti-codon, and T loops). Further hydrogen bonds mediate the characteristic L-shaped molecular structure. tRNAs have two regions of fundamental functional importance: the anti-codon, which is responsible for specific mRNA codon recognition, and the 3' end, to which the tRNAs corresponding amino acid is attached (by aminoacyl-tRNA synthetases). tRNAs cope with the degeneracy of the genetic code in two manners: having more than one tRNA (with a specific anti-codon) for a particular amino acid; and 'wobble' base-pairing, i.e. permitting non-standard base-pairing at the 3rd anti-codon position.
Source: RNAcentral